CUCUUGGUAUCGGGUAUACAUUUUAGUUUUCUGACAUUUUUGUAAAGUCUUCAUUUUUAUCUUUUGACUUUAAAUACUUCAUUAUUAUUUACUAUUGUCCUCAUUUGAUAUAAGUUUAUCAAUACUAUUAUAAACUAUAGUUGAUAAUAAUUUUAAGCUAUAACGUAUAAAAAUGUUACUAUCUAAAGAUGUAUUUAUGUCAACUGUACAAGGGUUUCAGGGUCCCUUCUAGUCCUGUUGUAGACAUAGAUUUGUAGGUCAGUGUUUUUCUUGUCUAUUUUUGCUACUAAUUAACUGUAACACGUUUAUAACUAUUAAUAUCUUGAACUGAAAGUA
Diprion similis is the source of this 336-nucleotide long non-coding RNA. RefSeq lists it as uncharacterized. The record is from RefSeq and is a predicted model, not a curated record. The transcript has 2 exons. Lineage: Eukaryota; Metazoa; Arthropoda; Insecta; Hymenoptera; Diprionidae.